This 76-nucleotide transfer RNA is filed under the name Marmota monax (woodchuck). RNAcentral's name for it is "tRNA.Ala". Lineage: Eukaryota; Metazoa; Chordata; Mammalia; Rodentia; Sciuridae. The record is from RNAcentral.
GUCUGGGGAUAAAGCUCAGUUUGUAGAGUGCUUGCCUUGCAUGCACAAAGCCCUGGGUUCAAUCCCCAGCAACACA